GCCUUGUUAGCGCAGUAGGUAGCGCGUCAGUCUCAUAAUCUGAAGGCCGUGAGUUCAAUCCUCACACAGGGCA
RNAcentral lists this transfer RNA (73 nucleotides) under Ameiurus melas (black bullhead). It matches the Rfam family "tRNA". Rfam says of the family: Transfer RNA (tRNA) molecules are approximately 80 nucleotides in length. Their secondary structure includes four short double-helical elements and three loops (D, anti-codon, and T loops). Lineage: Eukaryota; Metazoa; Chordata; Actinopteri; Siluriformes; Ictaluridae. The record is from Rfam by way of RNAcentral.